GGCUCGACCCGGACCAAUCGGGAUUGCGCUCAAUACUUUGUAAACAACACAGUUGCACGCUGUAUGAAAACUUUACUACGAGAGAGGAUGUCGCGUGCCGAGGACCGCCAGAAAAUCUCUUAAUUCGGUGGCCAUGGAUUUCACAUAGGCCAAAGCUUGAGCGUACAUUCAACGCCCUGUUUGGCGGUGCACAAUGACCCAAUGAAGGAAACAUCUGCCUGCGUGUUGCACCGUCUGCACCAGAUCACCACAGCCGGCUAACUGAGGGAGAACUUCUGCACGGCACAUCCACAUCGCCGGAGCAACUGCUGCUGCUGCUCUCUCACACACACAGGCACACACACAUGUGAAGUUCUGCUUCAGCAUACCACCAGCAUCCUCCACAGCAGCUGUGUGCGUGUGUCUGUUUGUGUAUGUGUCGACACAUGAACUUUCUCUUUUCAUCCAGCAGUUGGGAACAUGCCUCGGUCCUCACCACUGGCCAUCAGCUCUGUUCCAUUUUCUUCUGGAGUGUGUGGACGUAUACGCGCGCACGUGUACACAGUUCCUGUGUGGUAACCCUGUUUAGAUGCAGUGGUUUACACUGAUCAGUGCAGAGCCACACAGGUUUUUCAGUGCAGACUAGCAGAGGAAGACUCUGGCUGUGCAGUAUUGUAAUGUGUUAUAUCAGAGCCGAUUAAGACUCGUUUUCAUCCGUGUUCAAACUAAACUCACAAAAAUGCUGAUACAGAAAUGACAUUCUGAUCAGGAGCCAUACUGACCAGAAUGUCAUUUCUGUAUCAGCAUUUUUGGUUUUCAGGAUAAAACCAGUGUAUCUGCUCAUUUAAAUGUAGUUUGUUAAAGGCACAAACUGUUCUGUGGUUGGUGGCAAAUGUGGUACAUGUAAUGUAGAACACAUAAUCGGAUUACUUUUUGAGAGAAAUA
Molecule: long non-coding RNA, 924 nt
Organism: Sinocyclocheilus rhinocerous
Lineage: Eukaryota; Metazoa; Chordata; Actinopteri; Cypriniformes; Cyprinidae
Exons: 3
Source: RefSeq, a predicted model, not a curated record